GUGCCAGCCGCCGCGGUAAUACGUAGGGUACGAGCGUUGUCCGGAAUUAUUGGGCGUAAAGAGCUCGUAGGUGGUUGGUCACGUCUGCUGUGGAAACGCAACGCUUAACGUUGCGCGUGCAGUGGGUACGGGCUGACUAGAGUGCAGUAGGGGAGUCUGGGAUUCCUGGUGUAGCGGUGAAAUGCGCAGAUAUCAGGAGGAACACCGGUGGCGAAGGCGGGACUCUGGGCUGUAACUGACACUGAGGAGCGAAAGCAUGGGGAGCGAACAGGAUUAGAU
RNAcentral lists this ribosomal RNA (279 nucleotides) under uncultured Actinomycetales bacterium. RNAcentral's name for it is "partial 16S ribosomal RNA". It matches the Rfam family "Bacterial small subunit ribosomal RNA", at positions 505 to 783 of the family's 1533-position model. The record is from RNAcentral. Lineage: Bacteria; Bacillati; Actinomycetota; Actinomycetes; Actinomycetales.